CUCUUCCCUCAUAACAAUCUCGUCUGUUAGUUCCUUCUCAUUUCCGUAUCUCUCUUCCCUCUUAGCUUUUGGAUUUUAUCUUCAACCUCCUUCACAAUAUUCUCAUACAUAACCUGAGCCCUUUGAACCCAAACCUCUAACUCCACUCUUAUUUCUAAUCACAUCCGAAAUGCGAAAAAAAAAAAAAAAUCUUCGGCGCAUCUGAAUUAUACCCAGUUGGAGUUGUGGAAUCCGAGCUGAAAAAGCCGCCUCCAGUCUCUUCGGCGCUUGCCUCACCUCAGAGAGAAGCUCCAAAUUUCGUGGAAAAGAUGAGUGUUGCCACAAAGUAUCUAAAAGCAGUGCUGCAGUGGCAUUUUCCUUGGAGACUGUCCAAAACAAUUGAGUUCCAUGUUCCUGCCAUUUGGCAAGCGGAUCACCAUCCUUUUCAAGAACUCCUUGGAGUUUUGAUUCAAAUUGAGCUACUCUAUCUUAGUUGAUAAGAUUGUUGGAAGAGUCAAGAGCUUGACUUGUAAGCCCUUUUCUAUGCUGGCAGGCUUCAAGCUGGUAAACUCUAUCCUAUUUUCUAUCCAGGUUUACUCGUCUUCUCUCUUCGUUCUUCCUAUGGGAGUUAUCAAGCAAGUGAUACAUGAUUUUGGGGGGUGGGGCCGUGUAUUCAAGCUUCACUCCCUAAGGGUGAGUCCGAAAGGCUCUACCAUGGUAGGUUUCACAUCAUCAAAAAAAUCUUUGUGGAUUGAAGGAAAUGCAAAACUGUAUGUGAGGUUUUUUAAUAAUGAACUUUUGCAACAUUUUCCUUACCACCAAAGUCUUUGAAGUAAUUUCUGCUAGCUAUUAACAGUGUGUUGUGUCAUUAGUUGUUUGCGCACAUCUUCUCAGGCUGAAUGUCUAUCAGAAAAGCUUUAGAGUCUUUCAAUAUGCUGUUAUUUAGAGUCUUUGGACAAAGCAAUGAUUAAAUUUAUCCCUCUCAUAGCAUAUUUAGUGAUGAUUACAAUGCAAGCAUUCAGUGUUUCCAGGUAAAUUACAAGCUUUUCAUUGGAUAUGGACAUUUGUAUAUGAAGAAUUAUUGUUCUCAGAGUGGUUGUUAGUGAGCAUUUUAAAUUAUUGAAAGGGAAUAAUUUCUUGCAUGUGAGCUUCAAAAGCUAUGAUCUUUGUUCAGUCUUUUUUUAUUUUUUUCUUUUUCUGCUUAAAGACUUAUGUUUGAUUUUGUGUUUUUGCUCAUUUUGUGUUGCAGGUAUUUAGGCCUAUUCUGAAUAUCUCCGUGGAGUUCUCUAUGGAGGAAAUCGAGACUACUUUGAUUAUAGGGAAUGAUACUUUGAGUGACAUACAUAUACCUCUUUUUUUUUUCUUUUUUUUUUUUCAGAGUUUAAACUUCUCUAAAGCUUUUUUUUUUUUAGCCUUUUCUGUUAAUAAACGUUCACUUCAUUUUAAAUGUGUUUUUAUGGUGGUUGUACAUUGUGCAAUGCUUGGCUGUUAAAAUCUUGGUUAUGCAUUCUUUGAGUGUGUGGUAGUAUUUACUGAGGUGGCAAUGAUGCUAUUUUAA
Long non-coding RNA from Juglans regia (Persian walnut), 1537 nucleotides. RefSeq lists it as uncharacterized. Lineage: Eukaryota; Viridiplantae; Streptophyta; Magnoliopsida; Fagales; Juglandaceae. The record is from RefSeq and is a predicted model, not a curated record. The transcript is spliced from 3 exons.